This 1395-nucleotide ribosomal RNA is filed under the name Dastarcus vetustus. Its description in RNAcentral is "eukaryotic LSU rRNA". It matches the Rfam family "Eukaryotic large subunit ribosomal RNA", at positions 611 to 1862 of the family's 3401-position model. The record is from RNAcentral. Lineage: Eukaryota; Metazoa; Arthropoda; Insecta; Coleoptera; Bothrideridae.
CCUAUCUGCGACGCUAUAGCUUUGGGUACUUUCAGGACCCGUCUUGAAACACGGACCAAGGAGUCUAGCAUGUGCGCGAGUCAUUGGGACAUAACUAAACCUAAAGGCGCAAUUAAUGUGAAGGUUCGCCUAGCGCGAACCGAGGGAAGAUGGGCGGUCCUCGGUGGCCGCCUCGCAUUCCCGGGGCGUCUCGUUCUCAUUGCGAGAAGAGGCGCACCAAGAGCGUACACGCUGGGACCCGAAAGAUGGUGAACUAUGCCUGGUCAGGACGAAGUCAGGGGAAACCCUGAUGGAGGUCCGUAGCGAUUCUGACGUGCAAAUCGAUCGUCGGAACUGGGUAUAGGGGCGAAAGACUAAUCGAACCAUCUAGUAGCUGGUUCCCUCCGAAGUUUCCCUCAGGAUAGCUGGCGCUCGUUGCGUACGAGUCUCAUCCGGUAAAGCGAAUGAUUAGAGGCCUUGGGGUCGAAACGACCUCAACCUAUUCUCAAACUUUAAAUGGGUGAGAUCUCCGGCUUGCUCGAACAUGAAGCCGCGAGAAUUAUGGAUCAGAGUGCCAAGUGGGCCAUUUUUGGUAAGCAGAACUGGCGCUGUGGGAUGAACCAAACGCCGAGUUAAAGCGCCUAAAUCGACGCUUAUGGGAUACCAUGAAAGGCGUUGGUAACUUAAGACAGCAGGACGGUGGCCAUGGAAGUCGGAAUCCGCCAAGGAGUGUGUAACAACUCACCUGCCGAAGUUACUAGCCCUGAAAAUGGAUGGCGCUGAAGCGUCGUGCUUAUACUCGGCCGUCAGCGGCAUGUGCGAUCGUCGUCUCUCUUUCGAGCGACGAUCAUGAAGCUCUGACGAGUAGGAGGGUCGCGGCGGUGUGCGCAGAAGGACUGGCCGCGAGGCCGUCUGGAGCCGCCGUCGGUGCAGAUCUUGGUGGUAGUAGCAAAUACUCCAGCGAGGCCCUGGAGGACUGACGUGGAGAAGGGUUUCGUGUGAACAGCCGUUGCACACGAGUCAGUCGAUCCUAAGCCCUAGGCGAAAGCCGAUGUUGAUGUGGUGUCGUUUAUACUAGCGAUUGUGUAGUUCAGUGUGCUCACACCCAUCGGGCGAAAGGGAAUCCGGUUCCUAUUCCGGAACCCGGCAGCGGAACCGUCACCAAUUCGGGCCCUCGCAAGAGAGUUCGUCGGGGCAACCCAAAAGGACCCGGAGACGCCGUCGGGAGAUCCGGGAAGAGUUUUCUUUUCUGCAUGAGCGUUCGAGUUCCAUGGAAUCCUCUAGCAGGGAGAUAUGGUUUGGAACGCGAAGAGCACCGCAGUUGCGGCGGUGUCCGGAUCUUCCCCUCGGACCUUGAAAAUCCGGGAGAGGGCCACGUGGAGGCGUCGCGCCGGCUCGUACCCAUAUCCGCAGCAG